GAUGAACGCUGGCGGCGUGCCUAAUACAUGCAAGUCGAGCGAACAGAUAAGGAGCUUGCUCCUUUGACGUUAGCGGCGGACGGGUGAGUAACACGUGGGUAACCUACCUAUAAGACUGGGAUAACUUCGGGAAACCGGAGCUAAUACCGGAUAACAUUUGGAACCGCAUGGUUCUAAAGUGAAAGAUGGUUUUGCUAUCACUUAUAGAUGGACCCGCGCCGUAUUAGCUAGUUGGUAAGGUAACGGCUUACCAAGGCGACGAUACGUAGCCGACCUGAGAGGGUGAUCGGCCACACUGGAACUGAGACACGGUCCAGACUCCUACGGGAGGCAGCAGUAGGGAAUCUUCCGCAAUAGGCGAAAGCCUGACGGAGCAACGCCGCGUGAGUGAUGAAGGGUUUCGGCUCGUAAAACUCUGUUAUUAGGGAAGAACAAAUGUGUAAGUAACUGUGCACGUCUUGACGGUACCUAAUCAGAAAGCCACGGCUAACUACGUG
This 497-nucleotide ribosomal RNA is filed under the name uncultured bacterium. RNAcentral's name for it is "partial 16S ribosomal RNA". It matches the Rfam family "Bacterial small subunit ribosomal RNA", at positions 28 to 507 of the family's 1533-position model. The record is from RNAcentral.